UACGUAGGGUGCAAGCGUUAAUCGGAAUUACUGGGCGUAAAGCGUGCGCAGGCGGUUUUGUAAGUCAGAUGUGAAAUCCCCGGGCUUAACCUGGGAACUGCGUUUGAAACUACAAGGCUAGAGUGUGGCAGAGGGGGGUGGAAUUCCACGUGUAGCAGUGAAAUGCGUAGAGAUGUGGAGGAACACCGAUGGCGAAGGCAGCCCCCUGGGUUAACACUGACGCUCAGACGCGAAAGCGUGGGGAGCAAACAGG
This 253-nucleotide ribosomal RNA is filed under the name uncultured bacterium. RNAcentral describes it as "partial 16S ribosomal RNA". It matches the Rfam family "Bacterial small subunit ribosomal RNA", at positions 524 to 776 of the family's 1533-position model. The record is from RNAcentral.